GCUUGAUCCGCCUUUCAACAACGCAAACAAACAAACCAUACAUCUCAUUUUAUAUCAGAUGGCGUCAGUCACAUUGGCAUAUGGAUCGCGAUUGUUCCCUUUCUUGUGUCGGAUUAUUCGAGAUACCGUUGCAUACAAAUAUGGACAAAAAGAUUAAUCCUCUUCCUCAUUGAUCUCUAGUAUCUCCAAAGGAUGCAUAUCUGCUGUUGUGGAAAAAGAUUUGGCGCAAAGCAGCUUACUGUAUCUGCUAUAUGUUAAGAGGAUAUAUAACUGGUGUGAACCUGUGAUUGAGUUCUCUCUCCGACGAUCCAUUUUUUCCAACUGUA
Ostrea edulis (European flat oyster) is the source of this 326-nucleotide long non-coding RNA. RefSeq lists it as uncharacterized. The record is from RefSeq and is a predicted model, not a curated record. The transcript is spliced from 3 exons. NCBI's taxonomy places the organism in Eukaryota, Metazoa, Mollusca, Bivalvia, Ostreida, Ostreidae.